UACGUAGGGUGCGAGCGUUGUCCGGAAUUAUUGGGCGUAAAGAGCGCGCAGGCGGUCGUGCAAGUCGCGUGUGAAAGCCCCCGGCUCAACUGGGGAGGGUCACGCGAUACUGCUCGACUUGAAGGCAGGAGAGGGAAGUGGAAUUCCCGGUGUAGUGGUGAAAUGCGUAGAUAUCGGGAGGAACACCAGUGGCGAAGGCGACUUCCUGGCCUGUUCUUGACGCUGAGGCGCGAAAGCUAGGGUAGCAAACGGG
RNAcentral lists this ribosomal RNA (253 nucleotides) under uncultured bacterium. RNAcentral describes it as "partial 16S ribosomal RNA". It matches the Rfam family "Bacterial small subunit ribosomal RNA", at positions 524 to 776 of the family's 1533-position model. The record is from RNAcentral.